RNAcentral lists this transfer RNA (65 nucleotides) under Dipodomys ordii (Ord's kangaroo rat). It matches the Rfam family "tRNA". From Rfam's summary of the family: Transfer RNA (tRNA) molecules are approximately 80 nucleotides in length. Lineage: Eukaryota; Metazoa; Chordata; Mammalia; Rodentia; Heteromyidae. The record is from Rfam by way of RNAcentral.
GGUGGCUCAGUGGUAGAGCAUUUGCCUUGCAUGCAUGAGGCCCUGGGUUCCAUUCCUCAGUACCA